Molecule: long non-coding RNA, 505 nt
Organism: Girardinichthys multiradiatus
Lineage: Eukaryota; Metazoa; Chordata; Actinopteri; Cyprinodontiformes; Goodeidae
Exons: 2
Source: RefSeq, a predicted model, not a curated record
GUAACUCGACCGUCCAGAGCUAUUGAUAUCUUCCUUAAGAGAUCAUAGUUUCUGACCUCGUUGUCUUUGCUCCUUCCCAGGUGAACUUCCUAGUCCUGGUUCCUGCUCCAGUCACUCUCAGUUAAGAAGAGAUUUGAGAUCUCCAAGAAUCCCCUCUCGGAUCAAGCUCCAGCUGGCAGCCGUUAAACUCCUUGUUCUCCCUGGCCUCAGACAUAAGCUCACCCUGUUCACCCUCCAACGUGUCUCACCACCGAGCUGCAAGUAUAGGCAUCUAGAGCUCACUAUCUGCUGUUUGGAAACAGCCCUGAACCAAACCUCCACCUGUACGCAUUUCAACUACCUUGGAUGUAGGAAAAGAUCACCAUCAGACAAACCGUCUGCCAAACUCCCAGGCUCCACUUCACUCCCUUUUUGGCGGAUCCUCAUCUUCAAUCCUCGGCAUGCCUCAGUCCCGGGCCUCACACCAUAACCGAUUCCUGUGCAAAAAUAAACUUGUUAAACUUUU